This 406-nucleotide ribosomal RNA is filed under the name uncultured eukaryote. RNAcentral describes it as "partial 18S ribosomal RNA". It matches the Rfam family "Eukaryotic small subunit ribosomal RNA", at positions 592 to 976 of the family's 1831-position model. The record is from RNAcentral.
CAGUAGUGUAUAUUAAUGUUGUUGCAGUUAAAAAGCUCGUAGUCGAAAGGAAGCUUGUAGUUUGAAGGGCAGUUGUGAAAGCAGGUGUCUGGAGGGGUAUGAGCAGGAAGGAGUGUAAGGGUAGUGUGUUGCUUAGUUGGAACAUAGCAAAAGAGCGGCCCCGAGUGGGGUAGCUUGAUCCUUACACUAGGUUACCUUGAAUAAAAUAGAGCGUUCAAAGCAGUUUAGGUGAAUAAUGGAGCAUGGGACAACGCAAUAGGCCAUGGAUACCCUUUUAGGGGGGGUUUGCAUGGAAUGAUGAAUAGGGAUGACUGGGGAUAUUCGAAUUGGAAGGCAAGAGGUGAAAUUCAGUGAUUCUUCCAAGACGGACCAAAGCGAAAGCACUUAUCAAGGGCGUUUUCAUUGA